CAGGGGACCGGAGUCCUCACCACUCCCCCUUUUGUCUUCUCCAAGCCAGGGUCAAAGCUGCCUCAUGCAGACGGAGAGGAGAAGCUGCGUUCCCUGCCUUUCCCGAAUUGUUUGUGGACUGUAAAUGAAGAAAAAGGCAAGACCUAAAUCCUGAACUCCUACCGCUAUAACACAUUCCUCUGCGCUAAGGAACUGACAUUCUAAAGGUGCAGAUACCC
RNAcentral lists this long non-coding RNA (218 nucleotides) under Homo sapiens (human). Its description in RNAcentral is "HSALNT0131662". Lineage: Eukaryota; Metazoa; Chordata; Mammalia; Primates; Hominidae. The record is from RNAcentral.